RNAcentral lists this transfer RNA (87 nucleotides) under Punica granatum (pomegranate). It matches the Rfam family "tRNA". Rfam says of the family: Transfer RNA (tRNA) molecules are approximately 80 nucleotides in length. Their secondary structure includes four short double-helical elements and three loops (D, anti-codon, and T loops). The record is from Rfam by way of RNAcentral. Lineage: Eukaryota; Viridiplantae; Streptophyta; Magnoliopsida; Myrtales; Lythraceae.
CCGACCUUAGCUCAGUUGGUAGAGCGGAGGACUGUAGUGGGAACACAGCUAAUCCUUAGGUCGCUGGUUCGAUUCCGGCAGGUCGGA